RNAcentral lists this long non-coding RNA (264 nucleotides) under Mytilus galloprovincialis (Mediterranean mussel). Lineage: Eukaryota; Metazoa; Mollusca; Bivalvia; Mytilida; Mytilidae. The record is from RNAcentral.
UCUUGGGUGCGCAUAUACUUUUUCAAUCUAAAAUAUACUUAAAAUUUGAUGAAAAAACAAGGAAAAUCACGAAAUUUAACAAAAUAUCCAAAUUAGGUAAUAAUUUGUUGCCAUGGUAACUUGUUCGAUGUCAAAUUUGUUUUGUUUUUCUUAGUACCUUAUACCUUAGUCAAGUUUUCGGUAAUUUAAGAAUAUGUAUGAUGACUUUUAAAUUUGCAGUAAUUUUUGGGCCAAAUAAGGGCCUUAUUGCCCCUACUCCUUUAU